Molecule: ribosomal RNA, 602 nt
Filed under: uncultured archaeon
Lineage: Archaea
Description: bacterial SSU rRNA
Rfam family: Archaeal small subunit ribosomal RNA
Source: RNAcentral
GGGUGCAGCAGGCGCGAAACCUCCGCAAUGCACGCAAGUGUGACGGGGGGACUCCAAGUGUUUUCUCGUUUAGAGACAACUUUUGCCAAGUGUAAAUAGCUUGGCGAAUAAGAGCUGGGUAAGACGGGUGCCAUAUGCGAGCGUACGCAUCAUGCGUAUACUUGCAAGCACAAGCCGCCGCGGUAAUACCCGCAGCUCGAGUGGUCUGGACUAUUAUUGGGUCUAAAGCGUUCGUAGCCUGGCCUGCAAGUUCUCUGUGAAAUCCGGCAGCUUAACUGUCGGGCGUGCAGGGGAUACUACAGGCCUUGGGACCGGGGUGGGUUGAGGGUACUUCCGGGGUAGGGGUGAAAUCCUAUAAUCCUGGGGGGACCACCUGUGGCGAAGGCGCUCAACUAAAACGGGUCCGACGGUGAGGAACGAAAGCGUGGGGAGCGAAUGGGAUUAGAUACUAUACGCAGGCGUAUGUAUAUACCACUGCGUUAGCUAAAAACCCCAGUAGUCCACGCCGUAAAUGCUGCAGACUAGGUGUUGCACGCCCCUCGUGGGCAUGCAGUGCCGAAGGGAAGCCGUUAAGUCUGCCACCUGGAAGUACGUCGCAAGGC